This 790-nucleotide long non-coding RNA is filed under the name Chloebia gouldiae (Gouldian finch). RNAcentral's name for it is "Erythrura gouldiae (Gouldian finch) lncRNA (ENSEGOG00005006515.1)". The record is from RNAcentral. Lineage: Eukaryota; Metazoa; Chordata; Aves; Passeriformes; Passeridae.
GCAGAAUCUAAAAAAUAUUUUUGGAUAUUUAUUUAUACAGUAUAAAUGGGUAUAACACUGUAUGAUGCUGUUGGCAUUUUAAUUCCCAGACUGCAUCUUAGAAAUUCAGAGCUUCUCCCCUCCUACAGUGAAGCCUGAAUGUUGCAGAAACAGAGAGAAAGAAAUGAGAUUUUUGAACCAGAUGAUCUUUCCAGUGCCUUCCAACUCAAACCAUCCUAUGAUUAUCAAUAACUGAGCUAUCAAAUUUCACCCCUCUGGUACACAUAAAUCUGAAAAAAGCUUCAGCUGCGUCACUCCCAGACAAAUCUGACACUGGAAUUUUGCUCCUCCGAGUUCUACCUGUGCUCUUCAUUCCAGGCACAGAGACAGGACCACACACCUCCCCACAGGGCACAGGACCUGCAGCCAGAACAGAACAAGCUGCUGAAGAAUAUUGAGGUCAGGACUGGAUGGGCAGGGAUCCUGCUCAAGCAGCCAGGAUCACAGGAAACUCCCUCUCUACCCUGGGAUAUAUUUCAUGAGUAAAAGAAACAAGGCGCUAUGAACUGAAUACUCUAAAAAGAAAGAAAGAAAGAAAGAAAGAAAGAAAACUCUCCUCCUGGUUGCAAACAGAAGAUUGGUUCAUUUGAGCAUGCUGUGCAAAACUUGCCACAAAGUCCUUUGUGCCAUCAGCAUGAAAAGAAUCCUUUGCCCAGGCGGGAGAUUAGGGUGGCCAGCGGGAAUCCCUGCACCCGAAAUUCAGAUCAGAAUGGGCACUGCGGGCCCAGCUCCUGCACAACCGAGGACCUGA